UGAGGGCAAGAGUUAAAUUACAGCUGUGAC
Molecule: non-coding RNA, 30 nt
Filed under: Mus musculus (house mouse)
Lineage: Eukaryota; Metazoa; Chordata; Mammalia; Rodentia; Muridae
Source: RNAcentral